CACCUUUUUGAGAUUUUAUCAAGUUAUCGACUUUUCUUUUUCUUUUAAGUUUUGAAUGACCGGAUUCAUAUUUUCUAGUUGACAUAUUAAAAUCUAACAAAUAUUUUAAACACUAUUUACAAUAUCAAAUAAAAAAUAUAAUAAACAUAAGACACAAAACAAAAAUAAUAUUAGAAAUUAGAAUGAUAUUACCGAAUUCAAAAGCUAUGAAGACUUGAUUUCCGAAAAUGAAUCGGGCUGCUGCAAUAUAGUUUUCUCCAAAUUUAAAAUAUAAACUAUCAAUAGAACGAGUAAUUUUUUU
Molecule: long non-coding RNA, 301 nt
Filed under: Solanum tuberosum (potato)
Lineage: Eukaryota; Viridiplantae; Streptophyta; Magnoliopsida; Solanales; Solanaceae
Description: long non-coding RNA (STUB_LNC002709)
Source: RNAcentral